UGCAUUGGGCAGGAACGUUCUUUUCGGCGCGGUGGAGGAGGAAGACGGCCGUUCCUGCAUUGGGCUCCCGGGUGUGGAGCGACCGAAGAGUGGGGGCCUUGGGGUCCGCGGGCCAGGGCUCUUUGGGCGGCUCUCCGCACGGAGUCGGCGCAGUUGUCGAGUGAGGCGCAACGGGCCGUGCUCCGGGGCCUCGCGGGCCGUGUUCCGGGCCUCGCGGGCCGCGCGUGGUUCCCGGUCGCUGUCGGGAGAUGACAAGGUGUAUGCGGCUAGGAAGGGUUUUUUUUUUUUAGUGUCCUGUGCUGCCUGCCUACAUCUCUUGAGGGCUUAGAAGAUCUCGUCGGUCGGCCCACGGCAUAUAUUCGCACCGGUUUUUCGGCAGUCACCACGUGGCUUCCACACUUGCAGUUUCAGAAUUUGAAAGCACCAUACAGUCGCAGAAAACUGGAUAAGGCAGAGAGCAAGUGAUGGCCCAACCAGGAGUGAAUUCUGUUGACUGCAUGACAUCUGAUAGAGCUGGGGACAUUGGAAACCAAAGUGAUGACUCAUCUGAUAGCUUAUUUAAAACACAGUAUGUUCCUUCACCUACACAAAGACUAAGAAAUCCUACAAAAUGUGUGAUUUCACCUGCAAGGGUUGAAACUGACUCAUCAAGUGACUCCUCUCUGGAACCAAAGCCUCUGACUUUGAAGGCUAUUUUCGAAAGAUUUAAGAAAAGGAAACGGAAAAAGAGAAAGUAUAAGCCAAAAUUAAGACCAAGAGGAAGACCACCUGGAAUAAAAAAUGCUAGAAAUCCUAGAAGGUCACAGAUAGAUAUCAAACAAAUUAAAGACAAAGGAGCUGUGUUUCCAUUCUUAGAAUCUGAAAAUGGAAGAAAACCUUUACCUUGGAAGAAAAUUUUAACAUACGAGCAAGCUGUUGCAAGAGGAUUUUUUCACCACAUUGAAAAACUGAAGUAUGAGCAACACCUUAAGGAAUGCUUGGAGCAAAUGCAUGCUGGGGAGGAUUUAGAAAAGGAAGACCUUGACAGCCGGAGACACAAGUACAUGGAUGAUGAUGGUCCUCUUUCUCCUAUUGAAGAGCCUUUAACAGAAGAUGAGGCAACAAAUCCUGAGUCUGGAUGUGAUAUCAGAUUGGUUGAAGACAGUUGCUUCAUAAUAAGCUCAGAAUUUCCAAAGAAAAAUUUAGAGCAAGAAAAGAGUAAGAAAGAGUCUGCAUUCUCUAAAAAAGCUAAGGCCAACGAAACUGCACAGAGAGAACAUGGAAGGGCCUGGAAAGGAGAUGUACAUACAAGUAUCAAAGAAGGCUUGUCUUGAUUAUGAAGGCAGAAUUGAAGAUACCUGCGAAUGGAUGUUUGUUUCAGUGUGGUAAGUAGCAUACUGUCAAUUUAUAUCUUCAUUAUAUUUGUGAAUGCCAGUUUUAUUCUGUGAAAAUCUUAGAGUGCUCUAGCUUUCAAGAAAUCCUUGAGCAUGUUCAACUGUAUAUAUUUAGAAAGUAAUUUGAAAUGUUUACGAUAGUGCAAGAAUAAGCACUGAAGGCUAUAAGGUCUCAUACUCAAGUUAAAACAUUACCCUAUAAACUUUCUGAAACAUUGUAUAAUUACAGCAGAAAUUUGUACAAUCUUGAGUACAUAUAAUUUUCAAAAGUGUCAAUACUGUGCUUAAAAAAAAGUCAGACUAUACCCUUUUAGCCUCUUGAAGAAAAUUUACUUUGUACUGGUGCUUAAAACAGCUUGGUAAAGAAUCCAUACCAUGUGCUGAGUAUUUGAGGACCUGGCCCUAUAAGAAUGAGCUUCACUAGGCAAGUGUUCUGAGAUGACUUUUUUGUGAUUUCCUAAAGGUCCUAUUUGUAGAUAGAUGUUCAUACAGAAGUUGGCAUCACAAUGCUUUCCUUUUGAGGUCUAUCCCGAUGGGGCUUCCCUAAUAGCCACACAUCGUUGGAAACGCCUCAUAUAGUAACUUGUGGUUUGCUUGAUUCACAGGACUGCUUAUUAGGUCUGUGGAAAGGAGGAACUACAAGACAUUUAAAAGUAUGAAACACUAAUAUUUCAUUCAGGUUUUUUUUUAACUUCAGGUACUGGCAUAUCCUUCAAAAAUUAUUAAGAGUGUUAGGUAAGUUUGGCACUGUAUCUUGGGAAAACAUAGUUACAGUUCAUAUGAUGAAUUAAAAUUGUUCAACUGCUGAAUGAUACAGACAUGAACUAAAACUUAAUUCUGAUAGAACUGGCUACAGCUAUUAAGUCUGGACAGUGAACUUAAGACUAGUUUUUAUAACUGGGAAUUCUAUCCUUUUUUUUUUAAAGACUUAUGUACUAUUCUCUAGGAAUGAAUAUUAGCAGAACUCUUCAAACAUGUUGCUGGUUUUACUUGAUGAAUAAUGUGUGAGACUUUCACUGAGCCUCAUUCUACAUAAGAAUGGGCACUGUCAGUCAGUGUCCAGAACUGGUUAAUGUGGCUAAAUUGAGGCACAGGUCAUGCUUCCAUCACAGUAGAUCUAUUACAGUGGUGACAAUGAGACCUGUAACAUUUUG
Molecule: non-coding RNA, 2527 nt
Organism: Peromyscus maniculatus bairdii (prairie deer mouse)
Lineage: Eukaryota; Metazoa; Chordata; Mammalia; Rodentia; Cricetidae
Source: RefSeq, a predicted model, not a curated record